UUGCUACAGAGAGAAAGUCUACCCUAUUCCAGCACUCUCCCCUCUGUAAGAUAAGCUGUUAUAUAAACUU
This 70-nucleotide small nucleolar RNA is filed under the name Chinchilla lanigera (long-tailed chinchilla). RNAcentral describes it as "Small nucleolar RNA SNORA28 (ENSCLAG00000020931.1)". The record is from RNAcentral. Lineage: Eukaryota; Metazoa; Chordata; Mammalia; Rodentia; Chinchillidae.